UCUAAGCUAACCUGAUUGGCUACUGUUGGA
RNAcentral lists this non-coding RNA (30 nucleotides) under Homo sapiens (human). The record is from RNAcentral. Lineage: Eukaryota; Metazoa; Chordata; Mammalia; Primates; Hominidae.